This is a non-coding RNA of Picea glauca (white spruce), 45 nucleotides long. The record is from Rfam. Lineage: Eukaryota; Viridiplantae; Streptophyta; Pinopsida; Pinales; Pinaceae.
GCAAUGGUGUCUUUAGACACCACCACUACUUUCAGAUCCUCUAUU